This 253-nucleotide ribosomal RNA is filed under the name uncultured bacterium. RNAcentral's name for it is "partial 16S ribosomal RNA". It matches the Rfam family "Bacterial small subunit ribosomal RNA", at positions 524 to 776 of the family's 1533-position model. The record is from RNAcentral.
UACAGAGGGUGCGAGCGUUGUCCGGAAUCACUGGGCGUAAAGGGCGCGUAGGCGGCUUGAUAAGCGUGCGGUGAAAGCCCGGGGCUCAACCCCGGGUCGGCCGUGCGAACUGUCGAGCUGGAGCACUGUAGAGGCAGGUGGAAUUCCGGGUGUAGCGGUGGAAUGCGUAGAGAUCAGGAGGAAUACCGAUGGCGAAGGCAGGUCUCUGGGCUGAUACUGACGCUCAUGCACGAAAGCGUGGGGAGCAAACAGG